CCUACGGGAGGCAGCAGUGGGGAAUAUUGGGCAAUGGAGGAAACUCUGACCCAGCAACGCCGCGUGAAUGAUGAAGGUCCUCGGAUUGUAAAGUUCUUUUCUAAGGGAAGAAGAAAGUGACGGUACCUUAGGAAUAAGCCUCGGCUAACUACGUGCCAGCAGCCGCGGUAACACGUCGGGGGCAAGCGUUAUCCGGAAUGACUGGGGGUAAAGGGUGCGGAGGUGGUUUGACAAGUUGGUAGGGUAAUUCCGGGACUCAAACUCGGAACUACUACCAAAACUGUCGGACAUUAGGGAAGGAGGAGGAAAGGGAAUUCCUAGUGGAGCGGUGGAAUGCGUAGAUAUUAGGAGGAAAACCAGUGGCGAAGGCGAUUUGCUGGACUGUAACUGACACUGAGGGACGAAAGCGUGGGGAGCAAACAGGAUUAGAUACCCCUAGUAGUC
Molecule: ribosomal RNA, 444 nt
Filed under: uncultured bacterium
Lineage: Bacteria
Description: partial 16S ribosomal RNA
Rfam family: Bacterial small subunit ribosomal RNA
Source: RNAcentral